Molecule: ribosomal RNA, 459 nt
Filed under: uncultured bacterium
Lineage: Bacteria
Description: bacterial SSU rRNA
Rfam family: Bacterial small subunit ribosomal RNA
Source: RNAcentral
UUACGGAAGGCAGCAGUGAGGAAUAUUGGUCAAUGGGUGCAAGCCUGAACCAGCCAUGCUGCGUGCAGGAUGACUGCCCUAUGGGUUGUAAACUGCUUUUAUACGGGAAGAACAGGCACCACGAGAUGGUGAUUUGACGGUACCGUAGGAAUAAGCAUCGGCUAACUCCGUGCCAGCAGCCGCGGUAAUACGGAGGAUGCGAGCGUUAUCCGGAUUUAUUAGGUUUAAAGGGUGCGUAGGCGGAUAAGUAAGUCAGCGGUGAAAGCUUGUUGCUUAACAACAGAAUUGCCAUUGAUACUGCUAAUCUUGAGUACAGUUGAGGUAGGCGGAAUGUGUAAUGUAGCGGUGAAAUGCUUAGAUAUUACACAGAAUACCGAUUGCGAAGGCAGCUUACUAAGCUGAAACUGACGCUGAGGCACGAAAGCGUGGGGAGCAAACAGGAUUAGAUACCCUGGUAGU